GACGAACGCUGGCGGCGUGCUUAACCCAUGCAAGUCGAACGGAAAGGCCCUGCUUUUGUGGGGGGCUCGAGUGGCGAACGGGUGAGUAACACGUGAGUAACCUGCCCUUGACUUUGGGAUAACUUCAGGAAACUGGGGCUAAUACCGGAUAGGAGCUCCUGCUGCAUGGUGGGGGUUGGAAAGUUUCGGCGGUUGGGGAUGGACUCGCGGCUUAUCAGCUUGUUGGUGGGGUAGUGGCUUACCAAGGCUUUGACGGGUAGCCGGCCUGAGAGGGUGACCGGCCACAUUGGGACUGAGAUACGGCCCAGACUCCUACGGGAGGCAGCAGUGGGGAAUAUUGCACAAUGGGCGGAAGCCUGAUGCAGCAACGCCGCGUGCGGGAUGACGGCCUUCGGGUUGUAAACCGCUUUCGCCUGUGACGAAGCGUGAGUGACGGUAAUGGGUAAAGAAGCACCGGCUAACUACGUG
Molecule: ribosomal RNA, 468 nt
Filed under: uncultured bacterium
Lineage: Bacteria
Description: partial 16S ribosomal RNA
Rfam family: Bacterial small subunit ribosomal RNA
Source: RNAcentral